GUGAGACUAGUGAUUCAUUCACUCCCCUUCCACCUGACCGAGUCUUAAGGUCACACACUCACUGCUCCCCUCUCUGUAUCUGGUAGGGGGGUUUAUUGAUUCACUCACUGUAUCCAGUGGGACUGCUCACAUAUCCCAGGUCUUUGUGAGGUCACUAAGAUGGACACCCCUCUGUAUCCUGAAGGACUGCCAAGCCUCUAUGAGAUCAGUUUUCUCUGAAAUGUACUCUUUGCAGCAGAAUAUGAAGACAGAUGUAAAAUAAGACUCAUUCCCUAAUUUAGGGCUCAGUCCUUUGCUCGGGAGAAAGAUAGGACACAUCUGCAGAAGUAACACAUUUAGGACCCUAUCAUGCGGCGUAUUGAGUGCUUCUAGCCUGAUGACCCAUGUCCUGUAGAAUUCUGCUCUUAAUUCUCAGGCAGAAGAAAUUGAACAUUAAUUUUCUCCCAGAUCAGCAAGGAGAUGUCAGUUAAGCUGCAG
Mauremys reevesii (Reeves's turtle) is the source of this 477-nucleotide long non-coding RNA. RefSeq lists it as uncharacterized. NCBI's taxonomy places the organism in Eukaryota, Metazoa, Chordata, Testudines, Geoemydidae. The transcript has 3 exons. The record is from RefSeq and is a predicted model, not a curated record.